RNAcentral lists this ribosomal RNA (2909 nucleotides) under Penicillium sp. MA 6036. RNAcentral describes it as "bacterial LSU rRNA". The stretch from base 20 to 2140 matches the Rfam family "Bacterial large subunit ribosomal RNA", at positions 15 to 2044 of the family's 2925-position model. The record is from RNAcentral. Lineage: Eukaryota; Fungi; Ascomycota; Eurotiomycetes; Eurotiales; Aspergillaceae.
AAUAAGAUAAGUAUAUAAAGAAACUAUUAUGGAUGGUUAGCUAUAUAUUUCAAGAUAACAAUAUCUAGGAAAUAAUAUAAACUAGAAAUCAUAGAGAAAUCUAAUAAUAAGACAAAGUGAAUUGAAAUAUCUUAGUAACUUUAGUAAAAGAAAUCAAACGAGAUUGUUAUUUGGUGUCUUCUGAAUAGCAAAAGCCUAAAAAAUAAUAAUGUAUUUAUCAUUAAAUCAUUAUAUAUUAAAAAAUACUAUGUACUUAGGUACAUAGUAUAUAAUAAGUAUAACGGAAAAAAAUCUGUUGAAAAAUAGGGGAACCUUCCUCUAAGGCUAAAAAAAAUAUAUAAGCGAUAGAGUAACAGUACCGUGAGGGAAAUACCUAGAAAUAGUAGUUUUAAAAGCAGCUCAAGUUAAAAUUUAAAUAAAUAAUAAGAGUGUACCUUUUGCAUAAUGGGUCAGCAAGUUAAUUUUAGAUGCAAGUAACAUCUUUUUUAAAAUAAUUUAUAUUAAAUACAUAAUAAGGAAUAAAAUCAGUUUUAUUAGUGAAUAUAUGUUUAGUAUUAAUUAAAUUAAGUUAUGCUUAAUUUAGUAAUAAGAAUAUUAAAGUAAAAUCUAAUAAGGAGGGGUUUUAUUCUGUAAAUAUGUUAUAUACAUGUAUAAAUUAUAAUAAAAUAAGGAGAUAGGUACGCAGAUAAACCAAUUAUGAAAAAAUGAAUAAGUAUCUAGAAUUAGACCCGAAGGCUAGUGAUCUUACCAUGGUCAGGGUUAUAAAAGCCCGAACGGGUUAUCGUUGUAAAGAUAUCCGAUGAACUGUGGUAAGUUAGUGAAAGACAAAACUGACUAGUAUAGCUGGUUUUCCGCGAAACCUAUGUAAGUAGGUAAUUUAAUUAACAUCUUAGCAGGUACAGAACUGUGAUCUCGGACAAUAUGUAAUAUAUUUGUCAACAUCGGGGGGUUGUAGUGACUUUACCGGAGAGUAUUUGCACUCGGAAGGGCAAAGAUGAAUGUUAAAUAAUCGGACAUAGUGCGAUAAGGUUGUAUGUCUAAAGGGAAACAGCCCAGAACAAGAGUUAAGGUUCCAAAAUUAUUGUUAAGUGAAAUUAAGGAUGUUUUUUUUAAAAACAAUCAGGAAAUAGGCUUAGAAGCGGCCAUUUUUUGAAGACCUCGUAACAGAGCACUGAUUAAUAAAUUAGGAAAAAACGCCGAAAAUUUAACGGAUCUAAAUAAUAUACCGAAACCUUGUACACAUAAAUAAAAAUAAAAAUAUAUAUAAUUUAAAAUUUUUAAUGUGGGGUAGCGGAACAUUGGAUAAUACAGAAUAUAAAUAAUUUUCUUAAAAUUAUUUAAUUCGUAAUACCUUAGUUAUAAAAAAGACAUCUACAAAAAUAUCAAAUAUUGUGCAAAUAAUGUUUGAAGCUAUUCUAGAUAUACUGUUAUAACUAAGGAUUACGGUUGUAAAAUCCAAGAGAGAAUGCUGACAUGAGUAACGAAAAAGGCUUUUAAGCCUCGCCUGAAGCUUAUGGUUUCCUCAAAAAUCGGUGUCUAAAAAGAUUAAUCAAAAGAUAAUUUUGAUGACGUUUAUAGUUUUUUAUAUGAUAAUACCAAAACCUUUAACAAGUAAUAAAGGUUCUGGAAAAGUUUAUUACUUAUUUAUUUAAUUAACCGUAAUCUAUUAAAUAAUAUAAGAAAGAAAAAAACAAGUAAUAACCGUACCUAGAAACUAACUCAAGUAAGCAAGUAGAGAAUACAAAGGCGUUUGAGAGAACAAUCAUUAAGGAACUCGGCAAAUUGACUCUGUACCUUUGGAAUAAGGAGGGCCAUUAACAUUAAUUUAACAUACUAUUAAGUAUGAAAAAUUAAAUUAAUGUUAAGAGGAAUCAUGAAAUAAUGUUGUACGACUGUUUAAUAAAAACACAGCACUCUGCAAAGAUAAAAAAUCAAAGUAUUGAGUGUGAUGUCUGCCCAAUGUCGGCUGGGUAACGGAUCUUCCUUAAUUAUUAACUAAGGUUUUGAAGGACACCCCGAUUAAUGGCGGCCUUACCUAUGAGGGUCCUAAGGUAGCGAAAUACCUUGGCCGUUAAAUGCGGUCCUGCAUGAAUGACUUAACGAUGCAACAGCUGUCUCGAUGAUUGUCUCAGUGAAAUUGGAAUAGCAGUGCAGAUACUGUUUACCUCUAGAUAGACGAGAAGACCCUAUGCAGCUUUACUGUUACUAAUUACAGAAACUUGUUUUGGAUGAUUUAUAGUGUAUAAGGUAAUUGUUUAUAUAAUAAUGAAACACCUUUAUUCGAAUCCAUAUAUACAUUCUGAUGAUUGGAAGGCAGUUUAUGCGGGGCACAGAUCCCACAAAAAGUACCUGGGUAUAUCCAAAGUUCAUAUUGUAAACUUGUAUAUUUAUAUACAAAUAUUUUAAUUUGUUCUAAUUAUUAUUAUAAUUAUACAGUUAUUAUUCGAUUAAAUUCAAUAAUUAUUUUUAUUUUAAGUAAGAUUUUAACUAUGCGGUGAAUAGAUGUAUUUUAAACUUUAAACAUUAAACUUUAGUUUAAUGUUUUAUAUAUUAAAAGUUUAUUGUUAUAUUAAUAAAGUAUUUAUGUUUAUUAAUAUGAUAUUUAUUAAUACUUUAAAAGUUUAAUGGCUAAAUCUUGCUUUACUGUUUGACCUACAAGUCUAUCAGUCGCGUAAGCGGGGCAUAUGAUCACAAGAUGCAUUAAGGAAAGGUCUUGGAUUAUAGAAAAAGUUACGCUAGGGAUUUAUAACUGUGAGUCCUCCAAUAUUAAAAAAUAUUGGUAAUAUAUUGGGUAAAUUUCAAAGAUAACUUAUAUUAAUUAAGUGUAUUUGAAGCGAAACUUAUUUUAGCUUGUAUUUAUGUUAUACAUAAAUUAAAAUAAGAACGUUCAACGACUAAAAGGUGAGUAU